RNAcentral lists this ribosomal RNA (148 nucleotides) under uncultured Acholeplasma sp. RNAcentral's name for it is "partial 16S ribosomal RNA". It matches the Rfam family "Bacterial small subunit ribosomal RNA", at positions 1235 to 1382 of the family's 1533-position model. The record is from RNAcentral. Lineage: Bacteria; Bacillati; Mycoplasmatota; Mollicutes; Acholeplasmatales; Acholeplasmataceae.
UGGUACAAAGGGAGGCGAAGGGGUGACCUGGAGCGAAACCCAAAAAUACAGUCUCAGUUCGGAUUGAAGUCUGCAACUCGACUUCAUGAAGUCGGAAUCGCUAGUAAUCGCGGAUCAGAACGCCGCGGUGAAUACGUUCUCGGGGUUU